UUGACCCGUGACGCCACCGGUCCAGCACAGCAUCAAGAAGGCUGAAGGCAAGAAGCACAGGCAGGCCGCACCAGCGCACCUAGCCACCUGCCGGUGCCGUGUCAUCGUCUGCCGAGCACCCGAGGCGGCCGAGCGUUCGUCUGCAGACCACAACAGAGAGGUUAAUUUUUUUUAGCAAACCCUAUUUUUAUCUUUGCAAUUUUAAUUAGUGAUGUUUCGUGAUUUUAGAAGAAGUUUUUAUGUAAAUAUGAAGUUCAUUAUUAAUGAAAUAAUUUUGAUGUUGUGCCCUAUCAAUUUACUUGUACAAUACAGUGAUUGAACAUUUUUGAACAUGAAGAGGGGUGGAGAUAUUGCUUCGCUUUUUCGAAAACAUGAAGCAAAGAAGCUUGCUACCUCCAUGGUAUAUGCUUCUUCAACUCCGGCAGUAAAUCAAGGGCAACCUAGUAAUGAACAAGAGGAAGAAAAAGUGAUCGAAGAAAAU
Molecule: long non-coding RNA, 481 nt
Filed under: Zea mays
Lineage: Eukaryota; Viridiplantae; Streptophyta; Magnoliopsida; Poales; Poaceae
Description: long non-coding RNA (ZMAY_LNC001326)
Source: RNAcentral